AGAAAUGUGAACUUGUGCUAACAUAACAACUUCGCACAAAACCAUACAUUAUACAUCAAUACCACAGUAAUAUGACAUGAACCUUUAAAGAACAUUUUGUAUAAAGUGCAGCAGACUCAGUGCUAAUUGCUUUAGCCUCCGAAAGGGCACUUUCAUUGAAAAAUGGCUAGCGGAAGUUAGCAUCGGAGCUAGUGGCAAGUAGCAUGCUAACUAGCGCACAUGCACUGCCUGGGACUUACCAUGUGAAGCAACAAAUGCUACCCGGGGCUUCACAGUGCUCACGCUGGCUCACGGCCUCUAGAAUACAGUAUCACUCUUACUAUUUUCACCAUCCCGGAAGAGAAAUUCCUCUCCUGUUUCAGAUAAAGAACAUUUGCCCGCGUGUGGCUGGACUGUGGGAUUAUGGGAAUUUUAGCAUAUGGAAACAUUUGUUUAGCCUUUGUGUUGACAGUGUAGAGUUAUUUCUGCCGGCAGGGUUUUUAGCGUGUUGAGACUCUUUUUAUUGUAUAGCUGUAUUGACCACUUUGUGAUAGGGAUCUGGAAAUGUGGAAGUUAGAGCUCAAUUAUUUAUACUCCACAGUUUAUAUGUAAAGCCACAGUUUUAAAGUCUUUUAUUAUAUUAAUUAAGUAGUUUCAGGGAUUUUUAAUUAACUGUUCUUAUGGUUUCAGAAUUGAGUGAUUAUGGAGAGAUGUAUUUCACAACGUCCUUGAUCUCUUCAGCACUACUUUUCUUCGCCUUGAGGCUGAGGGAUGGCUCAGUCCAGACAAGGAGACAGACCUAUAUGCAUUGCACAGGUGUUACAUGCCACACAUCCAGUCACAUCUGCAACAGUUUCUGAGAGCAUGGAACAACCACUCACAGAGAUCAGCGCGGAACCAAUCUCCUGUUCAGCUGUGGUUGAGCAGAGAAAGAGAUGGAAGCACAGCACAUUUGUGUCAGGCAGCUCAAGACUGUGUAAACAACUGGAGAGGGCCACCUGUGUCAGAUCAAGUUUAUGUCCCAGAGUUGGAGCUUCCCCGUGACCUGUCGGCAGCAGAACUGGCAACACUUCCGAAUUCAAAUGUACCACUGACAGAGACAUUACAAGUUUACAUUGAGACUGUUUCCCUUCUCAGAGAAAUGAUGGACAGGUGAUUCACCAGCACGUACAUCAAAGCAAGGAGGUUUUUCCCGCAUUAAAGAAAUGGAAAACAUCAUAAAUUUACUAAUAAGUGUUUGAAAAUGUUGGGUCAUAUUAACAAUUCAGUCACACAGCAUUUUUGUUUUUCAGCAAAUCCAUGAAAGUCUCUAACUUUUCAAUAUCUGCUAUUUCAUGUAUCAAAAUGAAGUUCUCCUGUCUGUGUGCAAGACCCCAUCUCGUUUAGGAAAAUUCUAUUUUACUCUGCCAGAUGUCUUUGACGUAUUGCUGUACAUAUUUUAUUUUUACAAUGACAUUAACUUUUUUUUUAUUUCAAGUGUUGGGUCCAGAAAUUGAAGGAGAGAAUACAAAAUAAUGACCACUGAUCCGGCCAGGUGAAAU
RNAcentral lists this long non-coding RNA (1520 nucleotides) under Oreochromis niloticus (Nile tilapia). RNAcentral describes it as "lncRNA (ENSONIG00000023814.2)". Lineage: Eukaryota; Metazoa; Chordata; Actinopteri; Cichliformes; Cichlidae. The record is from RNAcentral.